Molecule: long non-coding RNA, 2156 nt
Filed under: Oreochromis niloticus (Nile tilapia)
Lineage: Eukaryota; Metazoa; Chordata; Actinopteri; Cichliformes; Cichlidae
Description: lncRNA (ENSONIG00000042607.1)
Source: RNAcentral
AGUAGAAUAAAGAAUAAAGAGAAACAGGAACUCAAUAGUGUGGAAGCCCUUUUAGGGCAUCCACACAAUAAAGAGAAACAGGAAAGCAAUAGUGUGGAUGCCUUGAGGCAUCCACACAAUAAAGAGAAACAGGAACUCAAUAGUGUGGAAGCCCUUUUAGGGCAUCCACACAAUAAUAAAUCCGAGGAAUAGUAAUAAGUGUGCCUCUUGGCAUAGGCACACUUAAUAAUAAAUCCGACGAAUAGUAAUAAGUGUGCCUCUUGGCAUAGGCACAUUUAAUAAUAAAUCCGAGGAAUAGUAAUAAGUGUGCCUCUUGGCAUAGGCACACUUAAUAAUAAUAAUAAUAAUAAAUCUGACGAAUAGUAAUAAGUGUGCCUCUUGGCAUAGGCACACUUAAUAAUAAUAAGAAGAAUAAAUCCGACGAAUAGUAAUAAGUGUGCCUCUUGGCAUAGGCACACUUAAUAAUAAUAAUAAUAAUAAUAAUAAUAAAUCCGAGGAAUAGUAAUAAGUGUGCCUCUUGGCAUAGGCACACUUAAUAAUAAUAAGAAGAAUAAAUCCGACGAAUAGUAAUAAGUGUGCCUCUUGGCAUAGGAACACUUAAUAAUAAAUCCGACGAAUAGUAAUAAGUGUGCCUCUUGGCAUAGGCACACUUAAUAAGAAUAAUAAAUCCGACGAAUAGUAAUAAGUGUGCCUCUUGGCAUAGGCACACUUAAUAAUAAUAAUAAUAAUAAUAAUAAUAAUAAUAAUAAAUCCGACGAAUAGUAAUAAGUGUGCCUCUUGGCAUAGGCACACUUAAUAAUAAAUCCGACGAAUAGUAAUAAGUGUGCCUCCUGGCAUAGGCACACUUAAUAAAUCCGACGAAUAGUAAUAAGUGUGCCUCUUGGCAUAGGCACACUUAAUAAUAAAUCCGACGAAUAGUAAUAAGUGUGCCUCUUGGCAUAAGCACACUUAAUAAUAAUAAAUCCGACGAAUAGUAAUAAGUGUGCCUCUUGGCAUAGGCACACUUAAUAAAUCCGUGGAAUCGUAAUAAGUGUGCCUCUUGGCAUAGGCACACUUAAUAAAACAGGUAGCUGCUUCAGUGUUUCUGUCAAUUUGUGCAGAUCUUGACUCAUCAGUAAUGUUUGUAGGGUGAGUGCAUUUUUAAAACAAUUUGUGCAAACUGCACUACAAGGUGGAAUAUUUGCAAAAUCAUGACUACCUCAUGAUAUUUUGUCUCAAAAAAUAACCCUAUGAAUAUGUCAGUACCAUCAGGAUGAAAUUACUGUGUCACCAACAUUUUAAUGUUAGACAUAUAAUUUUAACAGCCUCUGUAAACUAAUAUCCUGGCUUGCCUGAGGCUGCCGUUUUCUCUGACAGUUUCAAUCAAAAUUAGAAAUGCUACUCUGAGACUGAGAUAACUAAUAGUAAUAAGUGUGCCUCUUGGCAUAUGCACACUUAAAUAAUAAAUCCGACGAAUAGUAAUAAGUGUGCCUCUUGGCAUAGGCACACUUAAUAAUAAAUCCUGUUGUGCAGUUAGUUUCCAAAACACGUUAUUCAUGGUUACAUACAAUUUUAGACUGAUGUGGGCCAAAGCCUAGCACAGCCUGUAACGUUAUUAUGAUGGACACAUUUUAUGAGUGAACUUGACUUUAAGUGACUUACAGGUUUCUUUGAAAAAUACUUUCUUAUAUCCAGGUUCUUCCUUUUUGCUGCCAUCCUCCUCUCCUCCUUGCAGGUCCUCACAGCGCAGGCUUGUCGCUGCUAAAACUAAACAGGCUCCCUGAAAGGCACAGCCAAUCACAUUGGCCAUAUUUGUCACAUGAGGUAGGACUCCAGUAGAGAACGUAAUUUAACUCUUUCUGCACUGCUAGGUGAAUGAGACGUUGACAGAUCUUUUUUUUUUCUUUCUAUCGGUUUUGUUUUUCUUUACUCGAAGAGAUCAAAUUAUUGGUGGGAACAAUUCAAUAAUCGCUGGAUAUUGGUGGGGACAUGUCCCUUCCGUCCGUGCUAAAUCUACGCCCUUGGGGUUGCCCAUCUCUGCGUCAGAGUACCAAGUUUAGCUGACUCAAGUACACCAAAGAAUUAUCAUCUGCAUAAACUAUAAAGUUCAGUUCAGUUCAGUUUUAUUUAAGUGACAACAAUCGUCAGACAGAAGACAGCCAGAGAUGAAUAAUUAU